AUACUCCCGAGAGACCGAUAGCGAACCAGUACCGUGAGGGAAAGGUGAAAAGCACCCCGGGAGGGGAGUGAAACAGUACCUGAAACCGUGCGCCCACAAACCGUCGGAGCCUCUGUGUGGGGUGACGGCGUGCCUAUCGAAAAAUGAGUCUGCGAGUCAGUGGCGGGUGGCGAGCAUAAGCCGUGUGGCGUAUGCGUAGCGAAAGCGAGUCUUAAAAGGCGUUUUUAGUCGCUUGUCCUGGACCCGAAGCGGGAUGAUCUAGCCCUGGGCAGGUUGAAGCGCGGGUAAGACCGCGUGGAGGACCGAACCCACCUGGGUUGAAAACCGGGGGGAUGACCUGGGGCUAGGGGUGAAAGGCCAAUCAAAUUCCGUGAUAGCUGGUUCUCUCCGAAAUGCAUUUAGGUGCAGCGUCGGUCGAUUGCGUCGCGGGGGUAGAGCUACCGGAUGCUUGCGGGCCCUUGUUGGGUACCAACAGCAGCCGAACUCCGAAUACCGUUGACGUGUAUUCCGGCAGUGAGUCGGCGGGGGAUAAGCUCCGUCGUCGAGAGGGAGACAGCCCAGACCGUCGUCUAAGGUCCCGAAGCGUGUGCUAAGUGGGAAAGGAUGUGGAGUCGCAUAGACAGCCAGGAGGUUGGCUCAGAAGCAGCCAUCCUUGAAAGAGUGCGUAACAGCUCACUGGUCUAGUGGUUCCGCGCCGACAAUGUAGCGGGGCUCAAGCACACCACCGAAGACGCGGCAGCAAUCUUCAUGGUUGCUGGGUAGGAGAGCGUCCUGCAUGGGGCGAAGCGGCCGGGUAACCGUGCCGUGGACCGUGUGGGAGUGAGAAUGCAGACAUGAGUAGCGAGAGACGGGUGAGGAUCCCGUCCGCUGGAUGACCAAGGGUUCCGGGGCCACGUUCGUCGUCCCCGGGUGAGUCGGGUCCUAAGGCGAGGCCGACAGGCGUAGUCGAAUGGAUGAACGGGUGGAUAUUCCCGUACCGACCAUGGACCGGCAAAACCGAGACGGUGAGUACUAACCUCCGCCUCGUGGUGGUUCCUUCCUUCGGGUUGGUUCCGCCGCGUGGUGUUGGGAGCGUAGCCGCAGUAGGUCAGCGCAGGGGUGACACGGAAUGGGAGCCGGCCGCGGAGGUGGUUUUCCGUGGUCAAGCACGCAGCCAGUCAUGUAGGCAAAUCCGCAUGGCGUGCAUGGCGAGGUGUGAUGAUGGGAGCCGUUAUGGCUCGAUAUCCGGUUGUCCAGGCCGUCGAGAAAAGCCUCGGCGUGAGGGCCAUGGCCGCCCGUACCCCAAACCGACACUGGUGGUCAGGUAGAGAAUACCAAGGCGAUCGAGCGAAUCCUGGUCAAGGAACUCGGCAAAUCACUCCCGUGCCUUCGGUAUAAGGGAGACCCGCUGGGGUGAACCGGCUAGCCCGGGGAGCUUUGGUGGGUGGCACAGACCAGGGGGUAGCGACUGUUUACCAAAAACACAGGUGCAUGCGAAGGCGAAAGCCGCUGUAUAUGCACUGACGCCUGCCCGGUGCCGGAAGGUUAAGAGGAUCCGUCAGUCCUUCGGGAUGAAGCGGUGAAUUCAAGCCCCGGUAAACGGCGGUGGUAACUAUAACCAUCCUAAGGUAGCGAAAUUCCUUGUCGGGUAAGUUCCGACCUGCACGAAUGGCGUAACGACUUCCCCACUGUCUCGACCAGGAGCUCGGCGAAAUUGCAGUACGAGUAAAGAUGCUCGUUAAGCGCAGAAGGACGAAAAGACCCCGGGACCUUUACUAUACCUUGGUAUUGGCGUUAGGCGCGGAUUGUGUAGCAUAGGCGGGAGGCUUCGAAGCGGGUGCGCCAGCAUUCGUGGAGCCGCAAGGUGAAAUACCGCUCUGUUCUCGUUUGACGUCUAACCUCGACAAGUCAUCCUUGUCAGGGACAGUGCCUGGCGGGUAGUUCAACUGGGGCGGUUGCCUCCCAAAGAGUAACGGAGGCGCUCAAAGGUCCGCUCAGCCCGGUUGGCAAUCGGGUGUCGAGUGUAAUCGCACAAGCGGGCUUGACUGCGAGGACGACGGUCCGAGCAGGGACGAAAGUCGGAGAUAGUGAUCCGGUGCCGGCGCACGGGCGCGGCAUCGCUCAACGGAUAAAAGUUACCCCGGGGAUAACAGGCUGAUCAUUCCCAAGAGUCCAUAUCGACGGGAUGGUUUGGCACCUCGAUGUCGGCUCGCCGAUUAAAGCGGCACGCGAGCUGGGUUCAGAACGUCGUGAGACAGUUUGGUCUCUAUCCUCUGCGCUCGUUGGAAUCCUGAGGAGGCCUGCCCAUAGUACGAGAGGACCUGGGUGGACGAACCUCUGGUAUGCCGGUUGUCGCGCCAGCGGCACGGCCGGUUGGCUACGUUCGGGAGGGAUAACCGCUGAAAGCAUCUAAGCGGGAAGCCUGCUCCAAGAUUAGGAUUCCGUACGGUCUUGAACCGUUGU
Molecule: ribosomal RNA, 2442 nt
Filed under: human gut metagenome
Description: bacterial LSU rRNA
Rfam family: Bacterial large subunit ribosomal RNA
Source: RNAcentral